GACGAACGCUGGCGGCGUGCUUAACACAUGCAAGUCGAGCGGUAAGGCCCUUUCGGGGGUACACGAGCGGCGAACGGGUGAGUAACACGUGGGUGACCUGCCCUCAGCUCUGGGAUAAGCCUGGGAAACCGGGUCUAAUACUGGAUAUGACUCCAUGACGCAUGUUGUGGGGUGGGAAGCCUUGUGCGGCUGAGGAUGGGCCCGCGGCCUAUCAGCUUGUUGGUGGGGUGAGGCCUACCAAGGCGACGACGGGUAGCCGGCCUGAGAGGGCGACCGGCCACACUGGGACUGAGACACGGCCCAGACUCCUACGGGAGGCAGCAGUGGGGAAUCUUGCGCAAUGGGCGAAAGCCUGACGCAGCGACGCCGCGUGAGGGAUGACGGCCUGGUGUAA
This 394-nucleotide ribosomal RNA is filed under the name uncultured bacterium. Its description in RNAcentral is "bacterial SSU rRNA". It matches the Rfam family "Bacterial small subunit ribosomal RNA", at positions 28 to 428 of the family's 1533-position model. The record is from RNAcentral.